AGUGAACGCUGGCGGUAGGCCUAACACAUGCAAGUCGAACGGCAGCACAGUAAGAGCUUGCUCUUACGGGUGGCGAGUGGCGGACGGGUGAGGAAUACAUCGGAAUCUACUUUUUCGUGGGGGAUAACGUAGGGAAACUUACGCUAAUACCGCAUACGCCCUACGGGUGAAAGCAGGGGAUCUUCGGACCUUGCGCGAUUGAAUGAGCCGCUGUCGGAUUAGCUAGUUGGCGGGGUAAAGGCCCACCAAGGCGACGAUCCGUAGCUGGUCUGAGAGGCUGAUCAGCCACACUGGAGCUGAGACACGGUCCAGGCUCCUACGGGAGGCAGCAGUGGGGAAUAUUGGACAAUGGGCGCAAGCCUGAUCCAGCCAUACCGCGUGGGUGAAGAAGGCCUUCGGGUUGUAAAGCCCUUUUGUUGGGAAAGAAAAGCAGCAGGUUAAUACCCCGCUGUUCUGACGGUACCCAAAGAAUAAGCACCGGCUAACUUCGU
Molecule: ribosomal RNA, 491 nt
Filed under: uncultured bacterium
Lineage: Bacteria
Description: partial 16S ribosomal RNA
Rfam family: Bacterial small subunit ribosomal RNA
Source: RNAcentral